This 1102-nucleotide long non-coding RNA is filed under the name Elaeis guineensis (African oil palm). Its description in RNAcentral is "long non-coding RNA (EGUI_LNC080853)". The record is from RNAcentral. Lineage: Eukaryota; Viridiplantae; Streptophyta; Magnoliopsida; Arecales; Arecaceae.
AGGGAGUAUGAGUGGUACAUCCUGGUUUCUGUUACCUAAUGCUAGGAACCUUGGCAUGGGAAGAAAGCUAUGGACAUUAGAGACGACUAGAUGAGCAGAUGGGGUUGGAGAAUCCUAGUCAAUAGGAAAGAGAUAGGAAGUAGGGCCAAUAAAGAAAACGGGUAGGCUGAUUCAUUCAAAGCAGGUGAGGGACGAGAGGCGUUUGAUAUUUCUUGUUCCUGUGGAGAGCAACUUGUUGACCAAUGGAUGUGUGUGUGGUUCUCCGGUUCCAGGCCGCCACCAAUAGAACACCUGGCAGGUGCUGGUUGGGUGGAUUUGGAGAAUCAUCAAAUGGACCGCAAGGAGUAUUAAUUCUGGGCCAUCAACUGAAGCCCAUCAAUUUUUAACUGGACCUGGUAAAGGGGGCCUGGCGACCUAGCGUCGCUUCAGGUUGGGGCAACCUUAACCGGGUGUCCAGAAAUCAGAAGCGGUGUUUUCGGUCUUCAGCGAAGUGUAAACAUGGAGACCUUCUGAGCGCCAUGGUCCCAAGUAGAUGGAUGCUCACGGAAUUCACAUUCCUUGGUCCUUGUUGGGAAAGACAGAUUUCCUCAAAAGAAUAAAAUUCAAAGGCCUCGGCCCUUAAUUGUUGGGAAGGAAACUUCCAUAUCACUUACAGGAUUCCCUCGAUAGAAAUUAGAAUCGUCUUGUGCCAUGGCCAUGCAACACCCCCUCCCAUGCAUGAUACGUUUCUAGACUGGUUUGUGACAUGAACCUGCAACACUUUUUUGACCAUCCUAAACUCAUUCAUGGAAAUGCUAUUAUGCUUUUUCUCAUCAAUGCCCUAACCUUCGUCCACUUUCAUGUCAUGCGUACCGUUUAGCCAACUUUAUUGCUGGGGGUGCUAGGGGAAAGGAUUGCAUGCAAAAGCCUGCUUCUUGAUUUAGAGCAACGUACUUGGCACAGUCCAUGGCCCAAAUUGGAAAUUGAUUAGACUAUAACUUAGCCCAUGUUACCUGGGUGUUUUGUUAGGCAAGGUCAACUGUGAUAUACAAUCUAGAAUAUAAUUUCUCUAAUGCCUUAUCCCUAACCUAGCACCUAGGCUGAUUCAAAGUCAUAUUUGCAU